Molecule: long non-coding RNA, 1186 nt
Filed under: Capsella rubella
Lineage: Eukaryota; Viridiplantae; Streptophyta; Magnoliopsida; Brassicales; Brassicaceae
Description: long non-coding RNA (CRUB_LNC000506)
Source: RNAcentral
UCAUGCAUCCCUAGCAAUUGUAAUCAAUUAAAUUCAUUGUAUUCUAACAUAUUCUAACCCCAAACAACACUAGAUAUGUCAUUUAGUGGUUCAACGCAAUGUUUUCGAGUACUUAGCCCAUUUGGUACCCAAUUUCAACAAGUCUUUCUCUAUACUUCAGAACACUCUUCACGCAUCUCUAGAACUUGUAAUCAAUCAAAUUCAUUGUAUUCUAACAUAUUCUAACCCCAAACAACACUAGAUAAUUCAUUUACUUGUUCAACGCAAUGUUUCCGAGUUCUUAGCCCAUUUGGGACCCAAUUUGAACAAGUCUUUCUCCAUACUUGAAAACACUCUUCAUGCAUAUCUACCACUUGUAAUCAAUCAAAUUUAUAGUUUUCUAACAUAUUCUAACCCCAAACAACACUAGAUAAGUCAUUUAGUGGUUCAACGCAAUGUUUCCGAGUUCUUAGCCCAUUUGGGACCAAAUUUUAACAAGUCUUUCUACACAUUUCUAAACACUCUUCAUGCAUCUCUAGCACAUGUAAUCAACCAAAGUUAUUGUAUUCUAACAUAUUCUAACCCCAAAUAACACUAGAUAACUAAUUUAGUUGUUCAACGCAAUGUUUUCGAAUUCUUAGCCUAUUUGGGACCCAAUUUCAACAAGUCUAUUUCCAUACUUCAAAACACUCUUCAUGCAUCUCUAGCACUUGUAAUCAAUCAAAUUCAUUGUAUUCUAACAUUUAUAACCCCAAACAACACUAGAUAUGUCAUUUAGUGGUUCAACGCAAUGUUUUCGAGUUCUUAGCCCAUUUGGGACCAAAUUUCAACACGUCUUUCUCCAUACUUAAAAACACUCUUCACGCAUCUCUAGCACUUGUAAUCAAUCAAAUUAAUUGUAUUCUAAUAUAUUCUAACCCCAAACAACAUCUAGAUAAUUCAUUUACUUGCUCAACGCAAUGUUUCCGAGUUCUUAGCACAUUUCGGACCCAAUUUGAACAAGUCUUUCUCCAUACUUGAAAACACUCUUCAUGCAUCUCUAGCACUUGUAGUCAAUCAAAUUUAUAGUUUUAUAACAUAUUCUAACCGCAUACAACACUAGAUAAGUCAUUUAGUGGUUCAACGCAAUGUUUCCGAGUUCUUAGCCCAUUUGGGACCCAAUUUCAACAAGUUUUUCUACACAUUUCUAAACACUCUUCAUGCAUCU